AUUAUAUGUAAACCGAAAAAAGUGCGAGUUUAGGUGUGCUACUUUAGAGUAUUUGGGGCAUGUAAUCAGUGCCAGGGGGGUAACAGCGGAUUCAAAAAAAAAUAGAUGCGAUGCAAUCUUGGCCUGUCCCUCAAAACAUCAAGGAGUUAUGAGGCUUCUUGGGAUUGACUGGGUAUUACCGAAGGUUCGUAGAAGAUUAUGGAAAGAUGGCUGAACCAUUGACCAGAUAAUUGAAGAACGAGAGCUUCAACUGGGAUCACGAGGCUGAAUUGGCAUUUUAUGCAUUGAGGGAGGCCAUGACCAAAGUUCCGAUGUUAGCAUUGCCGGACUUCACCUUGCCAUUUGUGGCAGAAACUGAUGCAUUUGGAGUGGGCUUAGGGGCUGUACUAUCCCAGCAACAAAGGCCCAUAUCUUACUUUAGUCAAGCCUUAUUUUCCAGGGCGAGGCUCAAGUCGAUUUAUGAAAGGUAACUUAUGGCUAUAGUUCUAUCUUCUCAGAAAUGGAGACACUAUUUACUUGGGAGACAGUUUAUAGUUCGCACGGAUCAAAUAAGUUUGAAGUUUUUGCUGAAAUGGCUGGUGUGUGUGGAACAUCAAAAGUGGGUUACUAAGUUACUCGGCUAUGACUUUGAGAUUCAAUAUAGACCGAGCCUUGAGAACGAGGGCACGAAUGCCAUGUGUCACCUUCAGUGGCAUUGAAGUUAGCAGUUAUGUCUGUAUCAAAGGUAAUGGACUUGGGGGAGUUGCGAGCACAGAUAGAGAAGGAUGAGAAGUUAGCCGGCACCAGGGAGGCCUUACUCAAGGACCCCUUGUCCAUUGAUAGCUGGUUGCCUGAUGUAUAAACAACGGCUAGUGAUACCCAAGGGAUCCAAUUUGAUUCCCAGAUUACUUCAAGAAUUUCAUAGCAGUGCCAUUGGCAGCCAUUCAGGAGUUUGAAGAUUUAUAGAAGGGUAGCCAGAGAGUUGUUUUGGGUGGGGAUGAAAAAAGAUAUUCAGGCGUUUGUGGGAAUGUGUUCCGUUUGUCAACAAAACAAGUACUUAGCACUUUCUCCUGCCGGUUUACUUCAACCGUUGCCAAUUUCGGAAGCAAUAUGGGAGGAUUUAACAUUGUAUUUUAUUGAAGGGCUACCCAAGUCUAAAGGGUGGGAUACCAUCCUAGUGGUUGCGGAUCGACUAAGCAAGUAUGCUCAUUUUAUGACCUUGAUAGAACCCGUUUUCGGCUAAGACAGUGGCUGAGUUGUUUAUACAGGGAGUGGUAAGACUUCAUGGAUUUCCUAGAUCCUUGGUAUCGGAUAUGGACAAAGUUUUCCUUAGCUUGUUUUGGAACGAGCUCUUUCGGCUACAGGUAAUGCAACUCCG
This 1357-nucleotide long non-coding RNA is filed under the name Olea europaea subsp. europaea. Lineage: Eukaryota; Viridiplantae; Streptophyta; Magnoliopsida; Lamiales; Oleaceae. The record is from RNAcentral.